CCUACGGGUGGCAGCAGUGAGGAAUAUUGGUCAAUGGGCGAGAGCCUGAACCAGCCAAGUCGCGUGAGGGAGUACUGCCCUAUGGGUUGUAAACCUCUUUUGUCGGGGAGCAAAAGCCGGACGUGUCCGGCUGUGAGAGUACCCGAAGAAAAAGCAUCGGCUAACUCCGUGCCAGCAGCCGCGGUAAUACGGAGGAUGCGAGCGUUAUCCGGAUUUAUUGGGUUUAAAGGGUGCGCAGGCGGAUUUUUAAGUCAGCGGUAAAAUCGUGGGGCUCAACCCCAUCCAGCCGUUGAAACUGGGGAUCUAGAGUGUGCGAGAGGUAUGCGGAAUGCGUGGUGUAGCGGUGAAAUGCAUAGAUAUCACGCAGAACCCCGAUUGAGAAGGAAGCAUACCGGUGCACAACUGACGCUCAGGCACGAAAGCGUGGGUAUCGAACAGGAUUAGAUACCCGUGUAGUC
RNAcentral lists this ribosomal RNA (458 nucleotides) under uncultured bacterium. RNAcentral describes it as "partial 16S ribosomal RNA". It matches the Rfam family "Bacterial small subunit ribosomal RNA", at positions 338 to 795 of the family's 1533-position model. The record is from RNAcentral.